UGGGGAAUAUUGGGCAAUGGGCGGAAGCCUGACCCAGCAACGCCGCGUGAAGGAAGAAGGCUUUCGGGUUGUAAACUUCUCUUCUAAGGGACGAAGGAAGUGACGGUACCUUAGGAAUAAGCCACGGCUAACUACGUGCCAGCAGCCGCGGUAAUACGUAGGUGGCAAGCGUUAUCCGGAUUUACUGGGUGUAAAGGGCGUGUAGGCGGGGAAGCAAGUCAGAUGUGAAAAACCACGGGCUCAACCUGUGGCCUGCAUUUGAAGCUGUUUUUCUUGAGUACUGGAGAGGCAGACGGAAUUCCUAGUGUAGCGGUGAAAUGCGUAGAUAUUAGGAGGAACACCAGUGGCGAAGGCGGUCUGCUGGACAGCAACUGACGCUGAGGCGCGAAAGACGUGGGGAGGCAAACAAGGAGUUAGAUACC
Molecule: ribosomal RNA, 422 nt
Filed under: uncultured bacterium
Lineage: Bacteria
Description: bacterial SSU rRNA
Rfam family: Bacterial small subunit ribosomal RNA
Source: RNAcentral